ACAAUAGGUAAUGUGAAUUAUGUGAGAUGGUCAAAUGUUAAUGUAUAUAAACAUAGUAAGAAUGGUGAUUCCAAAAUGAAGAUGCUUUGAAAGGCAACAACCAUGUCAGAACACAUUGCUUGCCCAAGAUAUAAUGGAUUGAAGCUAUUAAAUGAAUAAAGCAGGAAUACGAUCUAAUUCAAAGGAUAAUAGGAAAAAUGAUACACAAACAUGCUAGUCGUCUUAGUCUUCCUUCACUUUGUGGUUCUCCCAUUUGUUAUCUCCACUCCAUCUAAUAUUAAUGUGUGUGUUACCUAAAGGAAUAUAAAAGAAGGUAAGAAAAUAUCUAGCAUGCAAAGACGAAUUCCAGAUUGAUCCAUACAAAACCUGGUCUGUGCUAAAAAAAGAUGAAAAGAAACAACCUGCAUGUAAUAAAGUUCACCUUUGCGUUUCAAAAAAAGUAAAAUUCACCUUGUUGUGAUUAGAAAUACCCCAAGCUCCUUCCAUUACCGACCUUGGUAAGCUUCAGAUUGACGACUGUAUAACUUCAGUAUAGUUUACAUCCUAAAACACAACAUAAGAUAAUCCAUGUUUGAAAUUUUCUACAUGCAGUAAGUGGAUUAAGCUAAUCAUUGAAGAGCAAAUAUAUCUUACCUUCCAUCUGAUCCCAACCAAUUGAAGCUGAAUUUCCUGAGUAAUUGACACCUAAUUGGCUAACAAACUAAGAGUGAAAUUACAUAACAGCAAGGCAAAAAGUUUGAGGCUAACACAAUCAAGAAACAAUACAGUAUGCCAAAAAAAUGUAUUACUCCCUCCGUUCCGAAAUGUAGGUCGCUGGGGCUUGUGUUCCGACCAGGUGAAAAGUUGACAAUUGACCUGAAUACCAUCCCUUCAAAAUUUGAAUCCCGAUCGAUCGUCUUCCACCUCCGCCUCCGCCCUCCACCUCCACCUCCGCUUCCGCCCUCCACCUCCACCGACCCUCACCUCCUCCCUCCAGCUCCAUCUCCACCUCCACCCUCACCUCCGCCCUCCACCUCCAUCUCCACCUCCGCCCUCCAUCUCCACCUCCGCCCCCUGCCCAGGCGCUGCCGCCGCUGGAGUAGAGCUAGUGCUCUGCUGCCGCCCACACACAGGGGCUCCUCCUGACCCGCGCCCAGGUGGAGGCGAGCACAGGCUGUUCCGCCAUCUCCACCUCCGUACCCACCUCCGGCCACUGCAUCCAGGCGCAGGCGCUCCUCCUCUCCCACGUCCAGGAGCUGCUGCUGGGUUCGGCUGGUGCCCAGGUUCAUCUCCUCUCUCUGAUCAUUUGAUCUUCUGCUGGAGUACAUCUCUCUGUUGUCGCUGGAAACGAACUGCAAGCAUGAACAAUACUCAAGUGAUUCAAGAGAUGUACUAAUUCAAGAGUAGUCAAGAGUAAUUCAGAAGUGCCAACAUUUGAUUCAAGAAAUGUUUGCUGCCAAAAAUUCAACAAAUAAUUUGAACAAGUUAACUGAAUUAACUGUUGACUGUAGCAUUUCAGACAAUAGGAGUAGCAGACCAAACUGUAUUAACUGUUGACUGUGCAUCAUUGAUUUUGAAAAUUCUGGAAGAACCUCUGCCAUUAUGUUGAUUUACUUUAAAUAAAAAUCAUAGACUGAAAAUGUUGUCAUCUGGAUUACACAUGUUCUUUUUCUCAUUAGAGGAUCAUGAGAGAAAACUAUUGAAAAUAGUCUGGAGUAAAAAAAAUCUGAGAACACACACACAACAAAAACAGGUUCAUGACUGGAGUAGUACUGUAAUAAGACCUGACAAAACUUCUUUUGGCUGGGAGAGAUUUGAGUGUUUUUAUAUCAUUGCUAAGAGAUUUUAUUACUGUAAUAAGACUUGACAAAACAUCUUGAACUGAUAAUCUACAGCAAACUUGCUUGAAUGCAAUGCAAGUUGUACCUCGAUCUGUCCUGAAACAAUGACCACGUAGCAAAGAGAGGAAUGAACUGCAAACAUAAACAAUUUGAUGAGAAUUUGGUUCAACUAGCCAAUAAUUUGAUCUAACCAUUUGACAAAAUCCGAAUCUACUGAUGCAGGAAUACUGUCAAAUUACUGUUGGAGUACAAUUCAGAUUACAACAGCAGUACCUGAAAGCAGCAGAAGAUGGUUGUCCCAGACCUCAACUGCACUCCACCUGCAGAAGAUGCAGAAGAUGAAAUGGGUGAUGAUGAUGCAGGAGUACAAAUGGAUGAAGAUGUAGGAGUACAAAUGGAUGAAGAUGCGGGAGUACAACAUGCAGGUAUAGCUACAGUGGCAUUUCAGAAAUUUUCAGUUAGUGGUGGAAGAAAAAAAUCAGUUAAAUUACAGAAUACAGUUUGAUGAUAUGAUCAUAUCAUCAUUUGAUCAUUUGAUGAUAUGAUCAUAUCAUCAUUUGAAUGCUUAUGUUCAUUUGACCAUUUUUCCUUUGAUCAUUUGAUCAUUUUUCCUUUGCUGUAUUUCUUCGUGCAGGUGUUGAGCAAUCAGUUAAGAAAAGGGAUAGCCUCGAUGACAAGCAAAAGUAUGCUGCUUAUGUUGCAAUGCACACACUGUGCAUGAGUAGAGGGGGCAAAUUUGAAAGAGAUGACAAGAAAAAGAUUGCCAGUUUCUUUGGAGUGGGUGUAUGGAAUGUACAAAGAGUUUGGAAGAAAGCAAUGAAGCAAAUUGCUCAAGGUCUGGAGGUGGAUGUUUCAAGUCAGAGAAAAAAGAACCGUGGAAGAAAGCCAAAGGACAUUAAUCUAGAUCAAAUACCUACCAUUCCACUUAACAAGCGGUCUACUAUCAGGUCACUUGCUUGGCAACUCGGUUGCAGCCCUACGACACUCCACCGGAAGUUCAUGCUGAAGUUGAUAAAGAGGCAUACAAACUAUUUGAAGCCAGUUUUGAAGGAAAAGAACAAGAAGGAUAGAAUGGAAUUUUGCUUGUCAAUGCUCGAUGAGACAACAACACAAACUGAAAGGCCAAAAUUCAAGACCAUGCACAACAUUAUUCAUAUUGACGAGAAAUGGUUCUAUAUGACCAAGAAAAUCAGGAACUAUUAUCUGCUAUAUGGGGAGGAAGAGCCUACGAGAACUAUACAAAACGGCAGUUGGAAAAGUCGUGUUCUUGGCGGCUAUUGCUAGGCCAAGGUGGGAUAGUGAAGGAAAUGUGACAUUUUCUGGGAAAAUUGGAAUUUGGCCGUUUGUGAAAGAAGUUCCGGCUCAGAGGAGAAGCGACAACAGGCCCAGAGGAACAAUGGAGACGAAGUCCAUAAAAGUCAACAGGCAAGUAAUGAGAGAGUUCAUGAUAGAUAACCUACUACCAGCAAUACAAGCAUCUUGGCCUGAGAAUGAUGCUGGGCAAACCAUCUAUAUACAACAAGACAACGCCAAGCCCCAUAUCUUGCCCAACGACCCAGAAUUUGUAGCAGCCGCGGAAAGAACUGGACUCGACAUCAGACUAAUUCAACAACCUGCCAAUAGCCCUGAUCUGAAUGGCCUUGACCUUGGGUUCUUCAACUCGUUGCAAUCUCUGACAGAUUGUCUAAGCCCUAGAACGCUUCAGGAUCUUAUCAAGGGUGUGCUAGAUGAAUUUGAAAACUAUGAAGUUUACAAGCUGAACAGAGUUUUCCUAUCUCUACAAGCUUGCAUGAUUGAAAUCUUGAACCACGCAGGGGGCAAUGGGUAUAAAAUACCCCAUGCGAACAAGGAAAGGCUAGAGAACCUUGGGAUGCUACCUCCAAGACUUACAUGCCCUGAAGAGGUAUAUGCAAAUGCCAUGCACAAUCUUGGGAUAAUGGAGAGAGUUCAGUGAUGGAAGAAGAGGCUUGACAUACUUGUCGAGAUGCUUGUUGAUAUGCUUGAGGAGUUAGUUGUUGAGAUGCUUGAGGAGUUGCUUGUUGAGAUGCUUGUCGAGAUGCUUGUCGAGAUGCUUGAGGAGUUGCUUGUUGAGAUGCUUGUCGAGAUGCUUAUUCAUAUGCUUGUCGAGAUGCUUAUUCAUAUGCUUGAGGAGUUUCUUGUCGAGAUGCUUGUUCAGAUGCUUGAGGAGUUGCUUGUUGAGAUGCUUGUCGAGAUGCUUGUUGAUAUGCUUGAGGAGUUGCUUGUCGAGAUGCUUGUUCAGAUGCUUGAGGAGUUGCUUGUUGAGAUGCUUGUCGAGAUGCUUGAGGAGUUGCUUGUUGAGAUGCUUGUCGAGAUACUUGAGGAGUUGCUUGUUAAGAUGCUUGUGAUUAUUUGUGUGGAGUAUGUGUAACUCCUUGUUUGUGUGGAGUAUAUGUAAAUCCUAGAGAUGAGGCUUGUGCGGAGUAUAUGUAACUCCUUGAGAAGAGACUUGUGUGGAGUGCAUCAUUUGUAUGAUCAUUUUAAUUAACCAAGAACUACUCCUACAUACUCCAAGAACUACUCCUACUCCUACUCCAAGAACAACUCCUACUCCUAAUUUUAAUUAAAACUAAGCAGCAAGUCCACACGAUUUUAAUUUUAAUUUAAGGAAAAUCCACACGAUUUUACAGAAGCUUGUAUGGCAUGUCAUGAUUUUACAGAAACUACUCCUAUCAUGAUUUUGCUGUCAUUAAUAUGCAAGCAACAAUUAAGUUCACAAUAUUAUGCAAGUUAACAAGCUUCAGUAGCCCAAGUUUCAGUAGACAAGUUAACAAAAGCUACAGACGACAACUUUUAAAAGAAGCUAUAGAAGCUUCAUGAGAAUAAGUUAUUUUUAACAGAAGCUACAGAAAAUUUACACUCAACAUGCACAACAAAUUUACACAGAGAGAGGAGAGGACCAAUUUGCACAGUGAGUUUCAAGCAAUUAACAAAACAAGUUAACUUGUUUGGCCCCUUUUUUCUUUUCAGUUAACAAGACUGGUAAGCAAGUGAACAAAUUCAGAACAAGCCUGGAGUAUAUGUAGAGAUACAAGUGCUCCUACUGAACAAGACUGGAGUAUAUGCAGAGAUACAAGUACUCCUACUGGAAUAUCUAAACAUGUUUGACUGCUUAAGCAUGCAGAACAAGACUGGAGUACAUAAACAUGUUCGACUACAGAAGUUCCCUCGCCAAAGCAAUGAACAUUCAUGACUAGCAAGGGAACUGCAAGAUUAAGAAGCUACUCUGCACUCUACCUGCAGUAGAUAAACAAACUGUAAUACAAGUAUGCAAAAUAUGUAUUGAGAUUGCAAAGUUACUUAAAGUAGAAAAAUGUAUCCAACUGAGAUUGUGGUAAGCUCUUGAUUGGAGUGCAAAAUGUAUCCAGCUAAGUUACUUGUUGAGAUGGAGGAAGUUGUUCAAAUGAUUAAAUCGGGACCAACUAACUGAAUCAGGAGGAACUUUAUGUCUCGACAACUACGGCAUAAUAAACACACAAGAAUAACUGAAUCAGGAGUAGAAACCACGAGUGAGACUGCGAGAGUUCAUCGCCAACCAUUCAAAACAAGAAAAAGAAAAAUGUGGGAUCUGCAAGAAAAAUGUGAGUAUGUUCGAUGCCUGCAAUUUUCGUUCUCUGAAAAUAUGAACCUGCUUCAGUGGCUCAGCCGCAACAUGGCGUAGAUACAAAGGAGAGCAUUACCAUCCUACUCCAUUCAGCAAUUCACACACAUACUCCAGAAUCCAUCAGCAAGUUGCUCUAGGCCUGGGGUGAUCCAUCAGCUUCAUCUUUGCUUGCACAGCAACAAUCACACGAUUUCAGUAACUUUGUGAAGGCUUCAGAGCCGUAGUGGAGUCCGGCACACUGCAUUUUCAAGCUACUGCAUCAAGUUUUCAUUAACCAAAUCGAUGCACUGCUACUCUAACAUCAACUACUCCUGCAAAUGGAUAAGAGAGGAGGCAUGGAGAAGAAACACCGUACCAGAUCCGUGAGGACGACCAAGCCGCUCCAGAUCCGCCAGUUGCUCCCGCGCCUCUCCAAAUACGCCGCUCGGCCUCCGCUAUGCAUCCAGUGCCGACGAGCGCAGAUCCAGCGCCUCCCUCGCCUAGAUCGAGCGCCGGCGCACGCAAAUCCAUCGCCUCUGUCGCCCAGAAGCUCGUCGCCGGCGCAAAAAAAUCAUUCUUUGACCUUGGAUGUGGGGCGUGAAUGGACGCCGGCUGUGAGUGGACGCCAGACGUGAAUGGAUGCCGGCUGUGGACGCGGAGAAAGGUGGCGGCGACGGGGAGAUAUGCUAGAGAGGCCGGCGACGGGGAGUCAGGGAGAUGCCGGCAGGAGUCGGGGAGAGCGAUGGGGAGAAGAGGGGAGCGAUGGGGAGAAGAGAGGCGAGCGAGUGAGCGAGUGGGCUGUGAGCGGAGUGAGGGGUAAUUUCGGAAAGUGCGAGAAUUCCGUAACGUGUCGAAAU
This 6278-nucleotide long non-coding RNA is filed under the name Triticum aestivum (bread wheat). RNAcentral's name for it is "long non-coding RNA (TAES_LNC005873)". Lineage: Eukaryota; Viridiplantae; Streptophyta; Magnoliopsida; Poales; Poaceae. The record is from RNAcentral.